CAAAAUGACGUCGUUUUAGGCAGGCCUUUUAGGUACCAAAUCGUCGUCAUUUUCCCCCUAGGAUCCCCAUGUGGACCCGACCUGCCAGUGAGGAUUAGCGUGUUGGGACUAAUUGCACCUUUAGCCCUUCCGCUUUUUAAUGUUUUUGCAAUUAAGUUCUUUUUAUUUUUAAUUUUUACCCCAUACUUUAUUUCGAUCACAUUUUAGUUCUUAUGGGAACGACGUCGUUUUGGAGAAGAAGGGAGAAUUCCUCUAUUAGUCCCUCCAUGUUAUUCACGUGUUCAGAUAAGUCCUCCCCUUUCUUUGUUAUUUCAAAUUUGCCCAAAUUUCUAUUUAAAAGUUUAAUUUAGUCCCUUCUUUUUUGUUAUUUUUCUAUUCCAUUAUUAAAUUAAUUAAUUUAAUAUUAUUUUCAUUAUUAUUAUUGUAUAGGCCCAAAUCUGCCCAGGGCAUGUACAAACAUAAACUAAAUAAUAAUAAAACCAAAUUUUUUUAAUAGUCCAAGUCCCUUUAUUACACCAGCCCUAAUCGGCCCAAAAUAAUUACAAGGACCCAAAUUAAUCCUAGCCCAAUAUUACACAACAGAGUAGGCCCAAAUGGCCCGAGAGUUUGGCAUUCACAGAAACCCUAGGGUCCCCCUCGAUGCGCCGCAAUAGCCUUCAGCCUCCAAGCACUGUAUGACCUCCAGCACACCUCCGUACGCCCCACGCCGAGUGCCACGUACCACCAUAGCUAGCCUCGUACCUCCAUACAUGCAAACAAACAAGAGAACGACAACAAACACGAAGGAAAAUUUGUAUUUUUUUUAUUUAUUCUUUCGGAUUCCGGCUAUAAAGCCAAGAACUUCUUCAUUGUAUUUUUUUUACGCAUAUUGAAAUAUGCAUAUUAAAUAGUAGAAAAAGAGAAAUCAAAAAAUUAUCGAAAGGUGAUUUCAAAUCCUAUUUCUUUUUUUCCCCCUUUUCUUUCGAUUUGCUUGUAAUUUUUUAGCAUGGAAAAUGAAAAGAAUGCUUGAAACAACACCGAUGAAAUUUUUUUUACGCAUAUUGAAAUACGCAUAUUAAAUAGCAGAAAAAAAGAAAUCAAAAAAUUAUCGAAAGGUGACCUAUUUCUUUUUUUUCCCUCCUUUUCUUUCGAUUUGCUUGUAAUUUUUUAGCAUGGAAAAUGAAAAGAAUGCUUGAAACAACACCGAUGAAAGCCCAUAUGUCUCAGAAAUAUGGUGACUCGGGCUAGGGUUGUUUUCUUUUGCUUUUUUGUCAGAUUUCGCUUUGUUUUUUGACAGAAUAGUAUAGGAUUUUAAGGGUUUUUUUUUCAAAAAAAGGGAGAGAAAAAGGAGUACACUUACCGAACCUCUGUGGGCGAGGCUUUCUUUGGCAAGAUCGGGUCCUGCUCGUGCACUAUCGGCCAUCAAAUCGAAUGGUGGGUUCGGCGGUUGCUAAAUGAAACCCUAGCAGAAUUCAACGUUCAUUUCAAUUAAAAGGGCUGCUAUGUUAAAAGGAGAAAAUAAGGGAGAAGGGUUUUAAAAGCAGAUUUGAAAAACGGUGCCGUUUAAGGGCAGGGAGAUCCGCGUGUCGACCCAUUCCCACACCCGGAUCCAUGCCUCUGCUCUUCAAAUGGGAAAUUUGUGCGGUUAAUCCCCCCCUUUUGCGCCGCAUCUCAGUUGACUCCUAUUGGCAUCCUAUCUUUUUUUAAAAUUUUCCCCAAAAGUCUGUGCGCUAUUUCAUUUUAGUCAGCGCUUGUGUGCUGCGUUUUGG
Molecule: long non-coding RNA, 1748 nt
Filed under: Gossypium barbadense (sea-island cotton)
Lineage: Eukaryota; Viridiplantae; Streptophyta; Magnoliopsida; Malvales; Malvaceae
Description: long non-coding RNA (GBAR_LNC002957)
Source: RNAcentral